Molecule: transfer RNA, 132 nt
Filed under: Nesomachilis australica
Lineage: Eukaryota; Metazoa; Arthropoda; Insecta; Archaeognatha; Meinertellidae
Description: tRNA-Asn
Source: RNAcentral
GUAAAAUCCAAAGAGAGGAAUACCACUGUUAAUGCUAUCACUGGAUGACUUAGUCCUUACUAAAGAAACCUGCGGAAUCUGGUGAAAGCCGCUAACUUGUCACCACAGCGGUUUAACUCCGUUGAGAUUUCU